UGUGGUGGAUAGUGGAGUGUUUCCAUGUGGUAUUGGUGUGCUGGAUAUCCCCUCCCAAGGUGCAGGGCUACAUUUUUCCUCAUUGAAUUGUAGCAGCCACUUUUUGUUCCAUACCUGUAGCUUGGUGAUGUCUUCUUGUAGGAAAUCCUCAGUCAAGGGGUUAAGAAGCAAAAGAAAACAGACAGGAAUGGACUUUUAGAAUUACCAUGUUGGCAGUGAUUUCUAAGCCCUACUUUUAGACUGGAGGAACACAGGGAAGCAGACAGAUAGAAACAUGCAUCUGGGAUAAUAAUAAACAGACACUUGGUUAGCUUAGGUUAAGUAUGGUUUGGUUAGGUUAGAUUGGGUUAGAUUAGGUAAGGUUAAGUAAGGUAAGGUUUAAAGUUAAGUAAGAUAAGGUUUAAGGUUAAGUAAGAUAAGGUUUAAGGUUAAGUAAGAUAAGGUUUAAGUAAGGUUAGGUUAGGAUAGGUAAGGUUAGGUUAGGUUUAGUUUAGUUUAGACAGGUAAGGUAAGGUAAAAUUAGGAUAGGUUAGGUUAGGUUUACUUAGGACAGGUAAGGUUAGGUUUGGUUUAGUUAGAAUAGUUCAGGUAAGGUAAGGUUUGGUUUAGUUAGGCUGGUAAGGUAAGAUAAGGUCAGGUUUGGUUUGGUUUAGUUAGGACAGGUAAUGUUAGGUAAAGUUAGGAUAGACUAGGCUGGCAAGGUUAGGUUAGGUUUGGUUUAGUUAGGACAGGUAAGGUUAGGUUAGGUUUGGUUUAGUUAGGACAGGUAAUGUUGGGUAAAGUUAGGAUAGAUUAGGCUGGCAAGGUUAGGUUAGGUUUGGUUUAGUUAGGACAGGUAAGGUUAGGAUAGGUUAGGUUUGGUUUAGUUAGGCUGGUAAGGUUAGGUUUGGCUAGGACAGGUAAUGUUAGGUAAAGUUAGGAUAGAUUAGGCUGGCAAGGUUAGGUUAGGUUUGGUUUAGUUAGGACAGGUAAGGUUAGGAUAGGUUAGGUUUGGUUUAGUUAGGACAGGUAAGGUAAGGUUAGGUGUAGUUUAGUCAGAACAGGUAAGGUAGGGUAAGUAUGAGGAACCAGAGGAAGGGAAAGAGACAGUAACCCACCUUGUAUAACGCUG
This is a long non-coding RNA of Eriocheir sinensis (Chinese mitten crab), 1111 nucleotides long. RefSeq lists it as uncharacterized. The record is from RefSeq and is a predicted model, not a curated record. NCBI's taxonomy places the organism in Eukaryota, Metazoa, Arthropoda, Malacostraca, Decapoda, Varunidae. The transcript is spliced from 3 exons.